This is a long non-coding RNA of Mus musculus (house mouse), 415 nucleotides long. RefSeq annotates it as predicted gene, 52700. Lineage: Eukaryota; Metazoa; Chordata; Mammalia; Rodentia; Muridae. The record is from RefSeq and is a predicted model, not a curated record. The transcript has 3 exons.
CAGCAAAGGAAUGAGCUGUUUGGGGCUAGAGACAAGGAACACCAACCUGUUUGAGGAGAGCAGCUGGGAAAGGCCAGGAGAGGAAGCGAAGAACCUAGCCAAGGAGCUGAUUCAGGGAUCCUAAAUGCUGCCGAGGGGUAUGAUGCUGUGAAUAUACUUAACGCCUUAGAAAUAUACAUGUCCUAGAUUAAUUUAUGUCAACUUGACACACGCUAAAGUCAUCUGAGAGGAGGGAACCUCAAUUUAAAAAAAUACUUCCACAAGAUUGAGUCGUAGACAAGCCUGUAAGGCAUUUUCUUAAUUGUGAUUGGUGGGAAGGGCCCAAUGCACUGUGGGUGGUUCUAUCCCUGGGCUGAUGGUCCUGGGUUCUAUAGGAAAGCAGUGAGCAAGCCAUGAUGAACAAGCCAGUAAGCAG